GCCAGGCACAGUGGCUUGCACCUAUAAUCUCAGCUACUUGGGAGGCUGAGGCAGGAGGCUCACUUGGGCCCAGGAGUUUGAGGCUACAGUGAGCUAUGAUUAUGAUUGUGCCACUGCACUCCAGCCUGGGCAACAUAGUGAGACCCUGUCUCUA
Molecule: unclassified non-coding RNA, 154 nt
Organism: Pongo abelii (Sumatran orangutan)
Lineage: Eukaryota; Metazoa; Chordata; Mammalia; Primates; Hominidae
Rfam family: Metazoan signal recognition particle RNA
About the family: The signal recognition particle (SRP) is a universally conserved ribonucleoprotein. It is involved in the co-translational targeting of proteins to membranes.
Source: Ensembl